This 730-nucleotide ribosomal RNA is filed under the name Salmonella enterica subsp. enterica serovar Montevideo. RNAcentral describes it as "partial 23S ribosomal RNA". It matches the Rfam family "Bacterial large subunit ribosomal RNA", at positions 2204 to 2925 of the family's 2925-position model. Lineage: Bacteria; Pseudomonadati; Pseudomonadota; Gammaproteobacteria; Enterobacterales; Enterobacteriaceae. The record is from RNAcentral. RNAcentral also lists the same sequence under 1 other name.
CCUUUAAUGUUUGAUGUUCUAACGUGGACCCGUGAUCCGGGUUGCGGACAGUGUCUGGUGGGUAGUUUGACUGGGGCGGUCUCCUCCUAAAGAGUAACGGAGGAGCACGAAGGUUGGCUAAUCCUGGUCGGACAUCAGGAGGUUAGUGCAAUGGCAUAAGCCAGCUUGACUGCGAGCGUGACGGCGCGAGCAGGUGCGAAAGCAGGUCAUAGUGAUCCGGUGGUUCUGAAUGGAAGGGCCAUCGCUCAACGGAUAAAAGGUACUCCGGGGAUAACAGGCUGAUACCGCCCAAGAGUUCAUAUCGACGGCGGUGUUUGGCACCUCGAUGUCGGCUCAUCACAUCCUGGGGCUGAAGUAGGUCCCAAGGGUAUGGCUGUUCGCCAUUUAAAGUGGUACGCGAGCUGGGUUUAGAACGUCGUGAGACAGUUCGGUCCCUAUCUGCCGUGGGCGCUGGAGAACUGAGGGGGGCUGCUCCUAGUACGAGAGGACCGGAGUGGACGCAUCACUGGUGUUCGGGUUGUCAUGCCAAUGGCACUGCCCGGUAGCUAAAUGCGGAAGAGAUAAGUGCUGAAAGCAUCUAAGCACGAAACUUGCCCCGAGAUGAGUUCUCCCUGAGACUUUAGGUCUCCUGAAGGAACGUUGAAGACGACGACGUUGAUAGGCCGGGUGUGUAAGCGCAGCGAUGCGUUGAGCUAACCGGUACUAAUGAACCGUGAGGCUUAACCUUACA